ACUCUGUGAUGAGAAUUAGCCAAAUCUGAGCACCAAAAAGAUCAACUGGUCUGUGUGGUGCAUGAUUUGUAAUCUGUUCUGGGA
This is a small nucleolar RNA of Zootoca vivipara (common lizard), 84 nucleotides long. RefSeq annotates it as small nucleolar RNA U2-19. NCBI's taxonomy places the organism in Eukaryota, Metazoa, Chordata, Lepidosauria, Squamata, Lacertidae. The record is from RefSeq and is a predicted model, not a curated record.